This is a long non-coding RNA of Girardinichthys multiradiatus, 504 nucleotides long. RefSeq lists it as uncharacterized. The transcript is spliced from 3 exons. Lineage: Eukaryota; Metazoa; Chordata; Actinopteri; Cyprinodontiformes; Goodeidae. The record is from RefSeq and is a predicted model, not a curated record.
CUGAUCCCAUACUACAGCACAGAGAGUGAGAGUGAAAGGGAGGUGGGACAUCAGGUGUCACAGCUCCACAGCCCCAGAUGAGGCUGCAUCACCACGACAACCGGGGUGCCGGCAGGUGCCCUUUGUUAGAAGCUGCCCAUGUGAUUGCAGAUCUUGGUAAAAGGGCUCCAGUCUAGUAUGUUAGACAUGCUCUUUGUACCUCACCGGCCAAGCACCCAACCAUCCACCCAGCCAGCUAUCCUGCAGUCUACCACUCCAUCCAUCCAUCCUUCCAUCCACCCAGUGAAGCGGGGCCAGCACCAGCCAGAACUGGCAACCUGCAGGAGUCAUCAGGGUUAGUGCUCGUUUGGCACGCCUCAGUGUCAGAACCAUCUGCAAGCAUCUGGCUGCAACUUGUAAAUUCAUAGAUCUGCAUUACCUCAAAUGAAAAGAGGCCUCAUUCUUAUAAGUCAUUUAUUCAAGUGUGAUAAUGUGCCGUUUUCUUUGCUUUUUCCUUUAAACUCU